CCUACGGGGGGCAGCAGUGGGGAAUAUUGCACAAUGGGGGAAACCCUGAUGCAGCAACGCCGCGUGAGCGAUGAAGGCCUUCGGGUCGUAAAGCUCUGUCCUAAGGGAAGAAUACUGACGGUACCUGAGGAGGAAGCACCGGCUAACUACGUGCCAGCAGCCGCAGUAAUACGUAGGGGGCUAGCUUUAUACGGAAUUACUGGGCGUAACGGGGGCGUAGGCGGCUCUUCAAGUUAGAGGUGAGUGGAUACGGCUCAAACGUAGUAAGCCUUUGAAACUGUAGGGGUUGAGUGCAGGAGAGGGGAGUGGAAUUCCCAGUGUAGCGGUGAAAUGCGUGGCGAUUGGGUGGAACACCAGUUGCGAAGGCGGCUCUCUGGACUGGAACUGUCGCUGAGGCACGAAAGCGUGGGUAGCGAACAGGAUUAGAUACCCGUGUAGUC
RNAcentral lists this ribosomal RNA (440 nucleotides) under uncultured bacterium. RNAcentral describes it as "bacterial SSU rRNA". It matches the Rfam family "Bacterial small subunit ribosomal RNA", at positions 338 to 795 of the family's 1533-position model. The record is from RNAcentral.